Molecule: ribosomal RNA, 774 nt
Filed under: uncultured Neocallimastigales
Lineage: Eukaryota; Fungi; Neocallimastigomycota; Neocallimastigomycetes; Neocallimastigales
Description: partial large subunit ribosomal RNA
Rfam family: Eukaryotic large subunit ribosomal RNA
Source: RNAcentral
UACUAGAGUAGCACUCGCAUAUCAAUAAGCGGAGGAAAAGAAACUAACAAGGAUUCCCCUAGUAACGGCGAGUGAAGCGGGAAGAGCUCGAAAUUUGAAAUCUUAAAGGGUUUCCCUUUACGAAUUGUAGUUUAAAGAAGUGUUUUCUGUUGAGGUUUUGGUAAAAGUUCUUUGGAAUAGGACAUCAUAGAGGGUGAGAAUCCCGUAUUUGACCUUUACUUUCAACUUUGUGAUACACUUUCAAAGAGUCGGAUUGUUUGGGAAUGCAGUCCAAAAUGGGUGGUAAAUUUCAUCUAAAGCUAAAUAUUGGCGAGAGACCGAUAGCGAACAAGUACCGUGAGGGAAAGAUGAAAAGAACUUUGAAAGAGAGUUAAACAGUACGUGAAAUUGUCAAAAGGGAAGCGUUUGACACCAGUGUUGUUUUUCUGAAAAUCAAUUAAAGAACUGUUUAUGCUAAGCUGUUUAGACUUUAUCAGCUAUCUGUUUAGUUUUGAGCUUUUCUUUAAUGCACUUUUCAGUUAACAAGUCAACAUCAAUUUCUUUCGCUGUAAAAAAGCUUGAGGAAGGUGGCUUGAGAUUCGUCUUAAGUGUUUAUAGCCUCUUGCCUAUGCAGUCGGAGAGAUUGAGGUCUGCAGCGUAGAUCCUUCGGGGCUAAAUGCAUUUGUGCUAAGUUAUAGCAUUUUAUAGACAACUUGUUGACUAUGAUUUGUCUUGUAGCUUACUCGCUUAUGUUAUUUUACCUACGCUUAGGAUGUUGAACUACUGAGACAUAGA